UCUUGGAGACGUGUCCGCGCAUGCGUCGCUCUCUGCAAGGGAGCCGCGUCGUGACGGUACUGAGCUCACUGCGCCUGCGUGGUGUUUGAGGCCGGCUGUGGACGGUCUGGUGAAGGAGUGAUGCUAGCUCUGGCAGAGACUGUAACCCCACAGACCCUGCGUGGAAUUGCCAGCAGUGUUGGUGUUUUUUUUACGGCACAGAAAGUGGUAUUUUAUUGCACUGAGUCCGUGAUCCUGACCGAGCAUCUGUUUUCUAAGAUAGUAGGAACUGCAGAUGCUGGAGAAUCCGAGACAACAAGGUGCAGGGCUGGAUGAACACAGCAGGCCAAGCAGCAUCAUAGGAGCAGAGGGGCUGACGUUUCGGGCCUAGACCCUUCAUCAGAAAAAGCCUCCCAUUUCCUAUCACUUGCCCCAUAGCUUUGUAUGGAAUUUCCCAUCAACCUGUUUGAAUGUGUCAUGACGCACCUCAGGAGCAGAUUCCUUUCACUGAGUACAGGAAGAUAUGACUGCAAAAUGGCACUUCAUUACUAAUUCAGUUUGUGCUGCUGAUGUGAAGCUGAGUUUAAACCACUUUGUCAGUCAUAAUGAAAGAAGGUUUUGAUUAUCUGCACUUUAUCUGUCUGAAGAUCCUUGCUACUGCUAUAGCAGCAUGAAUAAGAAUGUUCCAUAUCCAAGCAUUGACAAGCACAUCACUGGCUACCAAGUUAUACAUCACAUAAUUUUUAUCUGCCGCAUCUUUUCACCUAUUCCAUUUGAAGAGAUCCUGUGUCUCAAUUUAUUUUGUUUAAGCUUUUGCUUCUAGGAACGUAUGAAAUAGAAUUAGCUUAGUAGACAUUCUCGUUAUUAUUCACAGGCAAGUAAAUUAAUAUAUAUCCUUCUUUAUUCUAAGGGAUUAUUUUCCAAUUAUAGUUUGUCCUUCUGAAAUAUCAUGAAUAUAUGAUUUAAACAGACACAAAAGUGUUCUUUGCUAUGUUCAUAGUAUUCUUUCCUUCAACCACAAAGCUAUUGGCUAAAACUUCACUGCAGAACUUGAGUACAUAAUGAAGGCUCGCCCUUAAUUUAAAUUCAGAUUUCAGUUACUGAGAGUUUUCAGUUAUUUCAAGUUAAGCACCAUCUCCAAUUUCACAACAUGAUCAACAGAUUAACAAUUGCUGUUUUGCGACUGUGAUGAGAUUUUAAAAGGAGAAACCCGAUGUUAGGACUGAAAGGUGUUUGUGAAAUGCAAGGCAGAAGAGAUUCAUAAAGAUAGGGUAGGACAGAGUAAAUGAGGGUAUCUAAAAUAAUCCCAGGAUACAAAGUCAACCUAGUGGGGUAACAGUAAGUCAUUGAAAGUUGGAAAGUGACACGUUUAUCCCAAAUGUAUGCUUUAUUCAUAAAAUUUGUACAGAAUUUGCAAUAAAAUUCAACUUGUCUUCCUGUA
Molecule: long non-coding RNA, 1420 nt
Organism: Rhincodon typus (whale shark)
Lineage: Eukaryota; Metazoa; Chordata; Chondrichthyes; Orectolobiformes; Rhincodontidae
Exons: 2
Source: RefSeq, a predicted model, not a curated record